GUUGUUCUCCCAACGGAAAAGUGGCUGAAAGAAGAAUUUCCCUCGUACGAGGGUAAAACCUUCAUGAUCUAAGGUCCUCCCCGUUCCAAUAACACCUUCCGGCCACCCUUUGUUUUUUCAUCAAAGGAAAUAUGAAUAGCAACACUUAUAUGUUGAUUUGAAGUGAUUAGUGCCUAUAUAUAUAUAUAUAUAUUGGUCCUCGAUCGGCAGUCCCUUGACUUCUUUUAUUUGGCCAUCCAUGGGUAAGGACUAGAGCUAUGCACACAGGAGAGCAUCUCUUACUUGACUUCAUCCAUUAUCUUACUCUUCUUGCAUUGAAAAGCCAAUCCUUUCUUAUCUGUGUAGUGUCUUCAAAACCUAUCCAUGUCACUUAGACUCCCCUGCUCUCUCCAUUAAGAGCUGGUCCCUCAUCUAUAUCCUAAUCUCUUUUGCACGUUCAUGGUCUUCCUCAUGAUACAAAGCCAUGAAUUUUCCCUCAUCGUUUCUUUUCAUUCUACUUCUAGUCUCCUUCUCCCACCUCCUCACUCAUUCCAGUUUGGCCAUCAGAAAGUUUGAAGAUACUGGAAUGACCAGAGCGAGGUCAUCAAAUAUUAAAGUCAAGUCAUUUGAAGAAGGUGAUCAUGUUCAAAGGAAACACUUGCAUGAAGUGCAUUCAGGACCUAAUCCUAUCAGUAAUUCCUUUCCACGACAAAAGUGGAAAACUAGGUUAAGAAGAAGUCCAUAAAAUUACUUCUUCUCAUCAUUUCUUCUAUACCAAGUUUGUCAGCUAGAUUUGCAACUUUAUAUGAAAAGCUAUUAGCAGAUCUUUUAGUUA
Long non-coding RNA from Populus euphratica (Euphrates poplar), 814 nucleotides. RefSeq lists it as uncharacterized. The record is from RefSeq and is a predicted model, not a curated record. The transcript is spliced from 3 exons. NCBI's taxonomy places the organism in Eukaryota, Viridiplantae, Streptophyta, Magnoliopsida, Malpighiales, Salicaceae.